GGGUCCAUACUGGGCUAUAAAAAUAGUGUAGUACUUGAGCAGUACUGUAAAAAUGGCAAUUAUAAAUAAUUAUGAGUGUUGAGGAGGUAAUAUGAACACUCAAGUUCAAAGCAGUAAAAUAAAAAUUAAAAAAAAAAGACAGACUUAGGUAAGCCAUCUAUCAACUCGGAGAAUGCUGAUGCUUUGUUGAAAGAGAGCUUUGUCUUACAAAUUAGGCACUUAUAAAAACUCAUCACUCACUGCAGAUGUUACUUUAAGACAUUCUGGAGCAGCGUCAUGUGCAGGAACAAUAAGGAAGUGAGUGCUUUUGUAAUUCCUGAACAACUGUGUCUUACACUUACUAAGGGAUUCAUGGGCAAUAUGACUGAAUAGGAACAGCUCCAGUCUGAAGCUCCCAGUGAGACCAACAUAGAAGAAAAACCUGGUGGUAUGGACUUCCAGCUCAAUAAUUCACUGUAAAGUUCUCUUGCCUGCCACCAUGUAAGAUAUGCUUUUACUCUUCCGCCUUCCACCGUGACUGUGAGGCCUCCCCAGCCAUGUGAAACUGCCUUUGAGCUUAUACUGAAUUAUACCACCAGCUUUCCUAGGUCUUGAAGCUUACAGACAGCAGAUCUUGGGACUUCUCAGGCACCAUAAUCAAUCAUAGAUAAAUGAUCCAAUGAUUCGGAACUUGAAAAGUGGUAGCUUUAUGAAUUCUCCUUAAGAAGAAACCUGUGCCCUGAUCUUGCCUACUCACCCAAAGGCACUGUGAGAUAGCAUCAAAGGAACAGCUAGUAAGAGACACAGAGCCAGAAAUCAGGGAAGUAAAAUACACUUGACAUCUACGUUCGGAAAGAAAUUUUAGGAGGCAGAAGCAAAUGGAUCAGAAGCUGCUUAUAUUUUUGCAAGAUUACCAAAGAAACCAUUGGUGGAGAAAGUUCUGUGACCAACUUGUCUGAGUCUAGUAAGAUUGAACGCUCACACACAAGUUUCAUGAAGUGGGUUUGAUACUUACAGAUAAGCAGCAAGGACCAACAGAAGCUGAUGAUCUAUGGUGAACUUUUUCCCAAGGCUCCGGAAAGCUGCCUAAAGUAGAUGGAGUCUUCUCUGUGUGUGCCCCACUGGUCCUGCAGUUGAAGGAUCCGGUAAAGCAGCCUGCCCUUGGUUUUAUACUCCAGAGGAACGUGAUUCGCUGGACUAAAGCAUUGAAGUGCAUCCUGUUUCCGGGGGGCACUGGAACAGAGCCUGGUCUGUUCUAGCCAGUCCCUUUCUAUCUCAGGAUAACAUUCUACAGUUAUUCUUGAGAACUAUAAUCAAAUAAGCAGGGAGAACUGGGAAAGCAGAGGCUCAUUGUGGAACCCUCAAGGAGCAUGGGGUCGUCUUCAUCCCUCAGUUUAUAAAUGGCCAAGGAGAGUAAUGCAACAAAAACUUCUCAGAGUUAAAAGCCAGAGUUCCUAAAGAACCGUGGACAAAGGGUUCUGUCUAGUGGGCAGAAUUCAUCCAGCGAAGGUGCUUACUGCACUCCCAGCAUGUGCUUGGGAACUUUAUUAAAAUUCCUUCCUAUUGAGAUUUAAAUUGCUGUCCAGAAUUAUACAAUAUAAUGAAUGGGGGCAUUCAUUAUGUGUAUUCUAUGCCUUCUCCAUCAUUGCAUAUUCAGUCCUCGUGCUAGAGAGAGGCAGAUAAUCUACCUUUUAAAUUGAUAGGUCUCCUAACUACAGAGGGUCACAUCUGGAUCUGAUGGCACCUACAGAACUUGGACUCUGAGCGACAAUCAGUGACCAGGAAAUUUGGAACCCAGGUUUUCCCAACCUACAUCUACAAAAUGGAAUGGGUCUGAUUCGCAAGUUUUCAGAGAAAGAAGCCAACCUUAAUCAGACUGUGAUAUGAUGAGGAAAUAAAACUUGCUGUGCUAA
This 1892-nucleotide long non-coding RNA is filed under the name Homo sapiens (human). Its description in RNAcentral is "long intergenic non-protein coding RNA 2241". The record is from RNAcentral. Lineage: Eukaryota; Metazoa; Chordata; Mammalia; Primates; Hominidae.